GAUGAACGCUGGCGGCGUGCCUAAUACAUGCAAGUCGAGCGAACAGACGAGGAGCUUGCUCCUCUGACGUUAGCGGCGGACGGGUGAGUAACACGUGGAUAACCUACCUAUAAGACUGGGAUAACUUCGGGAAACCGGAGCUAAUACCGGAUAAUAUAUUGAACCGCAUGGUUCAAUAGUGAAAGACGGUUUUGCUGUCACUUAUAGAUGGAUCCGCGCCGCAUUAGCUAGUUGGUAAGGUAACGGCUUACCAAGGCAACGAUGCGUAGCCGACCUGAGAGGGUGAUCGGCCACACUGGAACUGAGACACGGUCCAGACUCCUACGGGAGGCAGCAGUAGGGAAUCUUCCGCAAUGGGCGAAAGCCUGACGGAGCAACGCCGCGUGAGUGAUGAAGGUCUUCGGAUCGUAAAACUCUGUUAUUAGGGAAGAACAAAUGUGUAAGUAACUAUGCACGUCUUGACGGUACCUAAUCAGAAAGCCACGGCUAACUACGCG
This 497-nucleotide ribosomal RNA is filed under the name uncultured bacterium. Its description in RNAcentral is "partial 16S ribosomal RNA". It matches the Rfam family "Bacterial small subunit ribosomal RNA", at positions 28 to 507 of the family's 1533-position model. The record is from RNAcentral.